GAUCAAGCGCGAGAAGGGCGUUUGGUGAAUGCCUUGGCAGCAAGAGGCGAUGAAGGACGUGAUACUCUGCGAUAAGUCAUGGGGAGCUGAGAAUAAGCUUUGAUCCAUGAAUUUCCGAAUGGGGCAACCCACCUGAAACUCUGUUAUAAUUACCUUCGGGUGAUUUAUAGCAGGGUGAAACAGGUACUUCUUAUCUGAAUACAUAGGAUUAGAAGAGCAAACCCGGGGAACUGAAACAUCUAAGUACCCGGAGGAAAGGAAAUCAAUUGAUACUCCCCUAGUAGCGGCGAGCGAACGGGGACCAGCCGAGCCUUGAGAGUGAAUAGAAUGGUCUGGAAUGGCCAACCAUAGUGGGUGACAGUCCCGUAUAUGAAGCUCGAUGGGACGUAUUAAGUAGGGCGGGACACGUGAAAUCCUGUCUGAAGAUCGGGGGACCACCCUCGAAGGCUAAGUACUCCUUGCUGACCGAUAGUGAACCAGUACCGUGAGGGAAAGGUGAAAAGCACCCCGACGAGGGGAGUGAAACAGUACCUGAAACCGAACGCCUACAAUCAGUCGGAGCUUCCUUGCGAAGUGACGGCGUACCUUUUGUAUAAUGGGUCAUCGACUUGGUCUAUCUAGCAAGCUUAAGCCGUUAGGUGUAGGCGCAGCGAAAGCGAGUCUUAAUAGGGCGUUGAGUUAGAUGGAUCAGACCCGAAACCGAGUGAUCUAGGCAUGACCAGGAUGAAGGUAAGGUAACACUUACUGGAGGUCCGAACCCACACCUGUUGAAAAAGGUCGGGAUGAGUUGUGCCUAGGGGUGAAAGGCCAAUCAAACUCGGAGAUAGCUGGUUCUCCGCGAAAUCUAUUUAGGUAGAGCGUCAUCCGAAUACCCCCGGGGGUAGAGCACUGGAUGGGUAAUGGGGCCCCACAGGCUUACUGAUCCUAACCAAACUCCGAAUACCGGGGAGUACUAGAUGGCAGACACACGGCGGAUGCUAACGUCCGUCGUGGAGAGGGAAACAACCCUGACCUACAGCUAAGGCCCCCAAUUCAUGGCUAAGUGGGAAAGCAGGUGGGACGACCAAAACAACCAGGAGGUUGGCUUAGAAGCAGCCAUCCUUUAAAGAUAGCGUAACAGCUCACUGGUCUAAUCAAGUUGUCCUGCGGCGAAGAUGUAACGGGGCUCAAGCCAUGAGCCGAAGCUUAGGAUGCACAUAGUGCAUGGUAGCGGAGCGUAGUGUGACAUAGAACUCUGUCUCUUGUAUCGCGUCGUUAUGGACGGUGCAGCAAUGCGCUCAAGUAGCGAAGCGGUAGCGCAGACAUGAGUUCUUUCUGUGAAGCCGGCGCGUGAGCGAUCCGGUGGAGAGAUCACUAGUGAGAAUGAUGACAUGAGUAGCGACAAAGAGUGUGAGAGACACUCUCGCCGAAAGUCCAAGGGUUCCUGCUUAAAGCUAAUCUGAGCAGGGUAAGCCGGCCCCUAAGGCGAGGCCGAAAGGCGUAGUCGAUGGGAACCAGGUUAAUAUUCCUGGGCCAUGUGGUGGUGACGGAUUGCGACGGUUGUUCAUCCUUAUCGGAUUGGAUGGGCCGCUUAGCAGUUCCUGGAAAUAGCCCCACUUUAGGACCGUACCCUAAACCGACACAGGUGGACUGGUAGAGCAUACCAAGGCGCUUGAGAGAACGAUGUUGAAGGAACUCGGCAAAAUACCUCCGUAAGUUCGCGAGAAGGAGGCCCGGUUCCUAGGCAACUAGGAGCUGGGGGCACAAACCAGGGGGUGGCGACUGUUUACUAAAAACACAGGGCUCUGCGAAGUCGCAAGACGACGUAUAGGGUCUGACGCCUGCCCGGUGCCUGAAGGUUAAAAGGAGGGGUGAGAGCUCUGAAUUGAAGCCCAGGUAAACGGCGGCCGUAACUAUAACGGUCCUAAGGUAGCGAAAUUCCUUGUCGGGUAAGUUCCGACCUGCACGAAUGGCGUAACGACUUCCCCGCUGUCUCCAACAUCGACUCAGCGAAAUUGAAUUGCCUGUCAAGAUGCAGGCUUCCCGCGGUUAGACGGAAAGACCCCGUGCACCUUUACUACAGCUUCGCACUGGCAUCAGGAUUGUGAUGUGCAGGAUAGGUGGUAGGCUUUGAAGCAGGAACGCCAGUUUCUGUGGAGCCAACAGAUGAGAUACCACCCUUCGCACUCUUGAUGUCUAACCGCGGUCCGUUAUCCGGAUCCGGGACCCUGCGUGGCGGGUAGUUUGACUGGGGCGGUCGCCUCCUAAAGCGUAACGGAGGCGCGCGAAGGUUGGCUCAGAGCGGUCGGAAAUCGCUCGUUGAGUGCAAUGGCAAAAGCCAGCCUGACUGCAAGACUGACAAGUCGAGCAGAGACGAAAGUCGGCCAUAGUGAUCCGGUGGUCCCAAGUGGGAGGGCCAUCGCUCAACGGAUAAAAGGUACGCCGGGGAUAACAGGCUGAUACUGCCCAAGAGUCCAUAUCGACGGCAGUGUUUGGCACCUCGAUGUCGGCUCAUCUCAUCCUGGGGCUGGAGCAGGUCCCAAGGGUAUGGCUGUUCGCCAUUUAAAGAGGUACGUGAGCUGGGUUUAGAACGUCGUGAGACAGUUCGGUCCCUAUCUGCCGUGGGUGUAGGAUACUUGAGAGGAGUUGCCCCUAGUACGAGAGGACCGGGGUGAACGAUCCACUGGUGGACCAGUUGUCAUGCCAAUGGCAGUGCUGGGUAGCUAUGAUCGGACAGGAUAACCGCUGAAGGCAUCUAAGCGGGAAGCCCCCCUCAAAACAAGGUAUCCCUGAGGGCCGUGGUAGACCACCACGUCGAUAGGCCGGAGAUGUAAGCGCAGCAAUGCGUUCAGUUGACCGGUACUAAUGGCCCGACAGGCUUGAUCCG
Molecule: non-coding RNA, 2866 nt
Organism: Citreicella sp. 357
Lineage: Bacteria; Pseudomonadati; Pseudomonadota; Alphaproteobacteria; Rhodobacterales; Roseobacteraceae
Source: Rfam